Molecule: long non-coding RNA, 571 nt
Filed under: Fragaria vesca (wild strawberry)
Lineage: Eukaryota; Viridiplantae; Streptophyta; Magnoliopsida; Rosales; Rosaceae
Description: long non-coding RNA (FVES_LNC000734)
Source: RNAcentral
AAAUAUUUAAAGGAUGAAUACUCAGAAAAACAAAAAGUACCCCACUUAUCAUCAAUCUGGCCUAGACAAUACAUAAAAAGAAAAGCAGACUUUGCAUUCAAGAUGAAAUAUUCGGACCUAAUUGAUUAGACACAUAGCAAAAGGAUCAAUCUCUCAUGUUUUAGUUUAUAGCAGAAACGACUCAAAACUGAGAAACUACAAUUGAAAUUCUACAUCAAUCACUCAUUCCGUGAAUGCAUUUAUAGGUCAAUAUCAAAAGGAACCAAACAAAUCUCAAAUAAGGCUUUAAAUUCAAAUAUUGUGAUUGAUGUAAGGCUUUAAUCUCAAUCUCUCAUGUUUUAGUUUAUAGCAGAAACGACUCAAAACUGAGAAACUACAAUUGAAAUUCUACAUCAAUCAUUCAUUCCGUGAAUGCAUUUAUAGGUCAAUAUCAAAAGGAACCAAACAAAUUUCAAAUAAGGCUUUAAAUUCAAAUAUUGUGGUACAAAACGAACAAAUCUGGAAGAUGGGUGCACAUUUCUUUAUUACCAGUAUUAUUCCAAGGCUGAAGCUAGGACUAUUCUCUUCUUUC